This 537-nucleotide ribosomal RNA is filed under the name Quadrella maculosa. RNAcentral describes it as "partial 16S ribosomal RNA". It matches the Rfam family "Bacterial large subunit ribosomal RNA", at positions 1810 to 2603 of the family's 2925-position model. The record is from RNAcentral. Lineage: Eukaryota; Metazoa; Arthropoda; Malacostraca; Decapoda; Trapeziidae.
AAAACAUGUUUGUUUGAAGGUUUAAAUAGUCUGUCCUGCUCACUGACAAUAUGUUUAAGAGCCGCGGUAAUUUGACCGUGCAAAGGUAGCAUAAUCAUUAGUUUUUUAAUUGGAAGCUUGUAUGAAGGGAUUGACAAAAGAAAUACUGUCUUUAUUAUAAUAGUUGAAGUUAACUUUUAAGUGAAAAGGCUUAAAUAGUUCAAAGGGACGAUAAGACCCUAUAAAGCUUUAUAUAAUUAAUAGAUUGAAGUUGAAUUUGGGCAUAAAUAUUAGAUUUUUUAUUGUAUUUUAUUGGGGCGAUAAAUAUAUAAUUAAUAUUAACUGUUUGGAAAUUAUACAUUUAUAAUUGAGUUAAAUUAGUUUAAUUGAUCCUUUAAUUAAAGAUUAAAAGAUUAAGUUACUUUAGGGAUAACAGCGUAAUUUUUUUUGAGAGUUCUUAUCGAAAAAAAAGAUUGCGACCUCGAUGUUGAAUUAAAAUAUCUAUAUGGAGCAGAAUUUAUAAUAGAAGGUCUGUUCGACCUUUAAAUUUUUACAUGA